CCUAAGUCAUUUCCUUUUUACAAAGAAAAAAAAAGCUUAUCGUCGUUGUAGACUCUUCUUCUUCGUCUUUCCCAAACUCCUUCAUCCAUGGUGAAUUGGCUCCUUCGUCUUCCUCUGUGGCUCUUCACCACCAUCACAUUUGCCGUCUCUAGCUUCUUCUUCUUAAUCCCUUCGUUUCAUCAAUUUCAAUUGCACAGAAAUUAAAACUGUAGAGGUCAUUGACCUAGAUCUGGGACACAACAAUCUAUAAGAAACAGAAGAUGAAUCCUCAGACAAGUAUAGCUCUGCGUGAAGACGUCAUUCAAAGAACUGUCUAUGUCUAUGUGUCUGAUAUUGACCAACAGGUCACUGAGGAGCAGCUUGAUUGUUUGUUCAUCGGCUUUGGGCAGGUCUACGUCUCUUCUACAAGUUCAUAUUUGUUUGUGGUGUGUUCUUUGUCAUGGCUGGUUUUAGUUGUUUAUGUUAUUGACUGUUUGAUCACAUUCUUAGUGGAAAGUUAUGUGCUUUUUAGACUCAAGAGUCAGUACUAGUCCUGUUUUUGGUUCUCAGGCUGAAGAUGAGCAUGAGAUGCGUGCGAGAAAAAUCUACUACACUAAGAUCGACACUAAGGUCACUCAAACGGACAUAAAACUCCUCUUUGAGGCUGCGUGUGGAGAGGUAUAGCGUCUGAGGCUUCUGGGAGAUUAUCUUCAUCCUCAACUAGAAUCGGUUUCGUUGAGUUUGUCAUGCAGGCUGAAAGUGCAGUAACUACUCUCAAUUGCAGCGGCGUGCUUCUUGGCUCUUUACAUAUAAGGCCCAAAAAACAAACCAUUUUCUCAAACAUUUUGUGUUACUUGGUUAUGAAUCCGAACGUUGACGUGUUUUUGAUGGUUUGAUCACAGGGUGAGUCCCUCAAAUACACAUGUUUGUUCCCGUGCUAUCUCUGCUCUCCCAGACAUAAUAUGCUUUUAAAAUGUUAGGAUAUUCUGAGAGGUCAACCAGAUGCAGGGUUUUCCCUUUUUCCACAAUCAGAAAAUAUAAAUCUUGACGACAGAGGAGGCAAGGCGUGGUCGUGCAGUGGAGAUGUGAGCAUCGUUGUGCGGAGGUUUUCAUGGGUGAGCUAGUAUUGUUUCCUCUAUUGUGAAUAUCCAACAGGGUGAAAAUGUGGUUUGGCUCUUCUUAGGUGUUGCCAAUACGAGUAUCAUUCUCCAUGAUGAUGAGUUCCUGAAGUACUUAAAAGAUCAUCAAGAGAACUUUAGGUUUGAGAGAAUGUAACUUAUAUUUACGUAUGUGAGAGCUGGAACUCGAAGCUUUCUUAGCUUAUUUGUUUUUUACACUUUUAAUGUUUUGAUUUGAUUUAAGUUUCUUAUUAAAUAAUUGAAUCGAUGUGGUUUGAGUUUUCAAA
This is a long non-coding RNA of Brassica oleracea var. oleracea, 1384 nucleotides long. RefSeq lists it as uncharacterized. Lineage: Eukaryota; Viridiplantae; Streptophyta; Magnoliopsida; Brassicales; Brassicaceae. The record is from RefSeq and is a predicted model, not a curated record. The transcript is spliced from 5 exons.